UAAAGUCUGACCAAGCAAACUAAAGUUAAUGUGGAAUCAUGAGUAUCAGGAUCAGUUUUGUAAGUAAAUUCACGCUGAUAGAAAAACAGAAGAGAUUUAUAUAUUUUAAUACAUUUUUUAACAGCUCAGUUCAAUUUCAAAUUCAACAAUAUUUUGCCUCCAAAGGGAAAUAAAAUAAAGGUAACACAAGGCGUUCAAGAUUCUUUAAAGAGUUAUUGUAGAUGUGGGUUGGUAGGACAGAUCUCCUGUAGCAGUCUGUGUUGCAGCAAAUUUGAAAAAUCUUCUCGUAAAAGUAUCAUUUUAAAACUCCAACAGAGACUGAUGUGUUUACUGUAAAAUAUGUAUGAAAGUAGCAUUAAAAAUUCUAACCCUAUAUUAUAACUCUAACCCAAACAGAGCAUUUCUUCUUAUGGGCCCCAGGAUUUGGGCCCCAUAAUGAUAAGUCAGUCCCCACAAUAUAGUAUUUGUUAGAAAAUGGUCCUUAAACUAUAUCGAAAAUAAAGCCACACACAUGAUCACAUUUUCACCCCUGUACUUCCAACUAACAGGGGACUUUUUAUUGAUUUCCACUCAUAUUAGUAACUGCAUUCAUGUCUAACCCAAACAUUUGGCAUAAUAUAUUCCUAACCAUAUCCUUAACUUAAGGAUAUGGUCUAAAUCUUACUGAAAUAGAACUGGAAUAAAAUAAAAAAAAUUUAAAAAGUAAAUAUCACCUUCCACAAACGUCCUCUCUUUGUUGGUAGUCUGCUAUAUGAAGAAUAGUUAAACAUAGAAAGAGAGAGAGAGGAAGAGAGAGAGAGAGAGAGUGUUGGAAGAGAAGGAUGUACUUUGAACACGUCACUGUUUUCUUCCUGUGGGAGAUUCUACAGAUUCUCAUACUGAACACACCAGCAUAUGAUGGGUGUAGAAACACAACAUCAUCUGCAUAUAAGAAAAUCCCCAAUGAAAUCAAUCAUCAGUGUGAGAUAAAACACCAAAUUACAAUUAUUCUAAGUUUAAGAAAAGACAAUGAUCAUCAUCUUCUGCUUAAUGGUCAAUGUUGUUCCAGCUUUAGGAGCUUCUCUCAGCGAUCGGGUCCAUCAGACUCCGGCCGAGAUGUUCCACAGACCAGGCCAGGCCGCCGUUAUCAACUGUUCACACAGUAUUGACGGCUACGAUCGGAUCCUCUGGUACAAACACUCAAACGGCAACCAGAUGCAGUUCCUGGGAUACAUGAACGUAAUGUUUGGAACUCCAGAGCCGGGAGUCAACGUGAAAAUCAAUGGCAGCUCAAACAAAGGCGAGCUCUGCACUCUGGAGGAUCUGAGCGUGAGCAGCAGCGCCGUUUAUUUCUGCGCCGCUAGAUACCACAGUGCUUCAUGUUAACGCUCCCCAGCACAAAAACCUCGAGUUUAAUCUUUUUAUUGCCUUAUCUUUGUGCAGCUGCGCUGCUUCCUUUCAUGAGGCGGCGGUGUGUCGUCACAGACUGCCUCAGCGCUCAGGAGAAACUGAAGCUCCUCCUUCAUGAAGAUGGUUUGAUAAAAACAGGCAUUCAAUCCAAACUCGGCAGUGUUCAAACAGAGUAACCGUAAAACAAUAAAGGAAUGUUGAUCACUGUCGUCCUGAGCGUUUAUUUCAACUGGAUUCUGCUCCCAGGUUCUUCUCGGAGUGAGCAGGUGUUUCAGACUCCUGCCAACAGCUUCAGUAGAUCAGGCGGGACGGCCAACAUCAACUGUUCACACAAUGUUCAAAACUACAACCAGAUCCUCUGGUACAAGCAACAAGCCAGUGGACUGCUCCUCCUGGGCUACGUCUACUACAAUGACCACUACCCAGAGAAAGGGCUGGACGUCAAGACGACCGGGAGCGCAGAUAAAGAUCAGCAGUGCACGUUGACAGUAGAGAGGCUCGACUCUAACAGCAGCGGGGUUUACUUCUGCGCUGCCAGUCGCCACAGUAACACAAUCCACCGAUUUGUCAGUACAAAAACCUCUCAAGCAGGUUUGCAUGUGCGCCUCCAGACUCAAAGCCACACAAACCCAGAAUAACUGUAAUUUGGUGUUUCAUCUCACAAUGACAAAUUAUUUCCCUGGAGGUUCUCUUGUAUGCAGAUGAAAGUGGUUUAAAGAUGUUUUUCAAAGAAACUAAGUAAAUAUAUUAUGUACUGUUUGAGGCAGUUCAAUUAGAACUACAUAUAUUUAGUUAUUUAGUCCUACAGAUUUGUCUGUUCUAGAAAUAGUGAGACAAACUGAACAGUUGUGAAGUGAUCUUCCUGUAUCUCAGAAAUAAAUUCCCUACUAAUAAAUAAAAUGCUUCUGUUAGUUUCUAAAUUACUGACUAAGCUAAAUAUUUUAGCUUAGCACCAAAAUGCAUUAAAGGCCUGUUGUGAUCGUGUCAACCUUCCAGACUUCUCAGGUUUUCUGGUUCCAGUUCUGCUCUGCAUCCCAACCAGAACCAGUCAGAACCACACAAAGCAGCAUUCAGCUUCUAUGCACCACAAAUCUGGAACAAACUUCCAGAAAACGGCAAAACAGAAAAAGAAAAAAAAACAGAGUUCCUUUAAAUCAAGGCUUUAACACGCCUGCUUAUAGUUGCUUUUGAGUCACAAUAAAUGGAACAUUGGUCAAUAAAUAUUUUCUUGAUUUUGAUGAUAACAUUCGACUAAAUGUAACAUUUAUUGCUCGUUUCAAAACUGGUGACUGCAUGCCGUUUUUAUGAUGUAAAAGACUUGAACUGCCUUUUUGCUAAAAUGUGAAAUCCAUAUAACCUUGACUUGACUUGUUGAUGGAUGAUUGGUUUCCUUAUUUGACAGAGGAGGAGCCACAGUAACUCCUCUCACUCCGUCUCAGACUGGAACAAGACUUCUAGGUUUGUUGUGAUCCAGAUGGUUUGAGCUGUUAGGAUUAAACCAACAUAGAAAAGUAAACAAUCAUGAUCGUCAUCUUCUGUAUCAUCUGUCAUGUUAUGCUUGUUUCAGGUUCUUCUCUCAGUGACCAAGUCCACCAGACUCCUUCUGAAACGUUCUGCAAAACCGGAGAUAAACCCCAAAUCAGCUGCAGGCAUGAAAUUCAGGACUACACCCGGAUCUUCUGGUACAAACAGUCGACGGACCACCAGAUGCAGCUCCUGGGGUACAUGAACGUCAACGACGGCUAUCCAGAGACAGGAGUGAAUGUGAAGAUAAAUGGAGGAGCAACUAAAGGGGAAACCUGCUAUUUAAUAAUAGAGGGAGUCAACACGAGCAGCAGCGGCGUUUACUUCUGUGCUGCUAGUCGGCACAGUGCUGCAUGUCUCUGCUUCUCAGUACAAAAACCUCCAAACAGCAGAUUUCUUUCAUCUGAGGCCAGCAGCUUACUGAUUGUUCCAGCUGCUUCGGUACCUCCAGCUAACACUGUCCUGCAUUUCUAAAGCAGACAGGUAGAAGGUGUUAAAGCAACUAUCACUAGGAUAGAUAAUAGUUUAGAUCUAAAUCCGGUUUUGAAAGACUUAAAGGCUUUCUGCAACUCCACUCUAUAAAGUCUGACUGAGUUCAAGGUAUUUUGCAAAGUUGAUCAGGAAAAGAUUUCAGUCUCCAAAUCUUUAAAGCUAAUAAAGGUCAGCGGUGU
This is a long non-coding RNA of Xiphophorus couchianus (Monterrey platyfish), 3584 nucleotides long. RefSeq lists it as uncharacterized. The record is from RefSeq and is a predicted model, not a curated record. The transcript is spliced from 4 exons. NCBI's taxonomy places the organism in Eukaryota, Metazoa, Chordata, Actinopteri, Cyprinodontiformes, Poeciliidae.